RNAcentral lists this ribosomal RNA (253 nucleotides) under uncultured bacterium. RNAcentral's name for it is "partial 16S ribosomal RNA". It matches the Rfam family "Bacterial small subunit ribosomal RNA", at positions 524 to 776 of the family's 1533-position model. The record is from RNAcentral.
UACGUAGGGGGCAAGCGUUGUCCGGAAUUAUUGGGCGUAAAGAGCGUGUAGGCGGCUUGACAAGUCCGCUGUGAAAUCUCGAGGCUCAACUUCGAGCUGUCGGUGGAAACUAUCUGGCUAGAGUCCGGAAGAGGAGAAUGGAAUUCCUGGUGUAGCGGUGAAAUGCGCAGAUAUCAGGAAGAACACCGACGGCGAAGGCAGCUCGCUGGGACGGUACUGACGCUGAGGCGCGAAAGCGUGGGGAGCGAACAGG